Molecule: long non-coding RNA, 2919 nt
Organism: Nomia melanderi (Alkali bee)
Lineage: Eukaryota; Metazoa; Arthropoda; Insecta; Hymenoptera; Halictidae
Source: RefSeq, a predicted model, not a curated record
GUUUACUAUAAUAAUGGUCUAGCCCCCUUUUAGUGCUGAUAUGAAGCACUGAAAAGAUCAUUUACCGUAUUCGAACACAGUUUAACCAGGAAAUUUCGCUUAUCGAUUAGGAAUUACACAAGAAUUACAGAUUAACAAAUUUAAUUUCAUCACAUUCAUUCAAACAUUAUGUACAUUCAACAUGUAUUAUACAUUUUCUUCUGUCGUGUCAUGACGUCAAAGUGAGAAACUUCUGAAUGUAAAGUGUUAAGUAUUUAAUAUUUACCUGAUUUAAAUCUGGAUCAUAUCCCCCCGUCACUGAUGUAUCACACACUUCACAGGUAAUGUGACGGCGAAUAUCAAUUUCACUGUAAGUAUAAUUUUUAUACAUGUAGAAUAAUAGUAUUACAGAUAUAUAGUUUAUUUAUGUUCAAUGCUUACAGUAUUUAUGCUAAUGAAAAAAAGACAUGACAAACUUUAAAAACUACAGCAUAUUCCAUUAUUGUUUGUAUAGAUUCUUAAAAAUAAAAUCUUACACUAGAUAUAUAAUAGUACGGCCAUAUUAAAAUAAUAGUUAAAAAUAAAAAAAAACUGUGUUACAUACCACCCUGAACUUUUUAAUGCUGCCAGCAUAAGUUUAACUAGAGCACCUGAAAUGUUGAAACACAAAAAAAUUAGUAAUCCUUAAAAAAAGGAUAGCUGAACGCGAUGAUAAAAGUAUUCUUACACUAAAUUAAAUUGACGCAUAGUGGAAAGAAACCGAAUUCAGUGGUCAAAGGUCAAUCUUUUAAGGUUUAAACAAAAUUAACUGAUUCGUUUAAUGCAAAGAAAAUUGUUUAUCACUAACGAAUAAAAAAAAUUUCUUUUUAGAAGCUCUGAUUCUCGAAUAAUAUAAUUGUUAACAAAUUUGAAAGUGUAAGAGCCGACUCUUGGUGUGUAGCGCGGUGUCCUUUGUCGGAAGCCGAUACAGUGUCCGAAAAAUUGGGACACACGUGCGGAAACAGUUUCGCAGAACUGUUAACAAGUGCCCCUCAACGCAAAGACGCUUAAAAAGGGAAUCGAUCAUCGAUCGUUACGCAUUCCGAAGUGGAUCGUCAGUCGUGUUCCGAUAUAAAAUAAUUAAAAACUUAAAGGAAGCCAAUGUAGAUUUCCAUACGUAUCAAAUGAGGAAGGAUAAAUCAUACAAAGUUGUAUCAUUCUGCAGAUACAAGGGAAAUAGAUGCCCUUGCAGAAAUGGGUCAUAAAGUUAAAAAUAUAUAUAUAUAUAUAACCUUGUACAUAAAGUUACAAAACAACCGCUUUCUUUAUGCUGUAUGGACCUAGAAUCAGCUAGCAACAAUAAAGAUAUUUACGACAUACAAUUUUUACAACGCGCGAAAGUUCAAUUCGAACCACCGUACAAAAGAUGAGAGACAGUACAAUUCAAACGUUGUCAACGAUACUGACGCACUAAAUCAUAUUGUUUUAAAUCAUAUAGACGCGUAAAAUGCAGAUAAGAUCACAAUUCCACUACUGGCACCAAAGAAAGGGAAACGCCUGCAAAAUGUGUCUUAUGUGAAGGCCAACAUCCAAUCAAUUACAAAAGCUGUGUGCUCUAUAAAGGAAUAAGGAAGCGAUGAUUUCCCCCACUAAGAGGUUCGAAAUCUUUCUGAUUUUUGCGUUGUAAACUUUAAACUUAAACAAAUAAAUUAGUAAAACACACAACACGUUGACGCAUGCCCUAAUGCAAGUCUGAACCUGUUUUGUUCUCUUGAUCCGAACAACAUUGUAAUCUGGUGGCUAGUCUGAUAUCCCCUGAGGGGGAACAUCCGAUCGCAGAGGAUUAAACAGUUGAAUCUUUAACAAUGUGCAAAAUAGCUAAUUGUGCGAAAUUCGAGGGCCGCCUGUAUUAUGAAAUUGCUAAAGCCAAAACAAAGAAAUGCAUUUAAAAUACUUUAUCCAAUGUAAUUAUUUUGUACAAUGUAAAAGGGAUAUAGAGAGCGAUGUGAGCAGUAUGUAGAAAAAUACUGAGCUUGCGAUGGACUAUAAUUUUGUUUAAUGUAUAACAUUUUGUGUUUAAACAUAAUAGAUUCAUGAAUCCGAGGCAGGAAAAUUGAAAGAAACGGGUGAAAAGAAAAACGACAAAGUAUUCAGAAUAAUAAUUACAACUCUAUCUGAUAAAUAGACAAGAUAAUUUUUAGUGGAAAGUAAGACAAAAAUAGUGUGGAAUCAGUUAAGAAAGUUAUAUGCUGGGAAUGCAGAAUACCGAAGGAUCAACAUAAAUCUGGAACCAAAAAAUAUCAAAAUGAAAAACACUGAAACAUAAUAUAGACUUAAACGGAAAUCAUAGAUGAAAAAGAGAAAAAACAUAUAGAGGAAGGACCAUAUGGCGAAAGAAUGUUCUUAUCAUCAUGAAAAGAAGAUUCAGACAAAUAGUUCAACGCAGGUAAGCAUACAUAAUCAAAAUGUAACUUACAGGAAUAAUAGAAGAGCAGGAAGUAGAAAGAAACAAAGCAACAUAAUAACUAACAGUAGAGAAGAGUAUACAUUCAGAGUUAUGGAAAAGACAAUCAUAGAAGACCAUAAUAGAUGGAUGUUAGAUUUGGGUGCCACAUUAUAUAUGACCAUAUAUUGAAAACAUAAUAAACUCAAUAAAACACAACAUUAGAAUCAACGCUGAAAAAUAUGAUAGGAGCCUAAAAUCAUAUGCAAAAGGAGAUAUAAAAGUAAAUAUUGUAACUCGAAAAAGGAACAAAUAAAAUAAAAAUAAAAGAUGUGCUUCAUAUAUCAAGAUUAAGAAGAAGUUUAUUAUCGGUGAAUCAAUUAAGUAGUAAAUAGGAAAGUAGUAAAUAGGAAAUUUGAAAGUUUAUUUAUAAAUAAUAACUUAACUAAAAACGAAAGUUUCUUUUAUGCUUUCUAUGUUGAAAACCUGUUAAUUAUGUUAUUUUCAACUUUAUCUUC